UGGUGUGAAACGUUUAACUGAUUGUUUAUAUUACUGACCUACCAAAAAUUCAUUACUAACUCGUUCUCACCACUGGCGCUUUGGAUGCAGUAAUCAGGUUUCAAGUCGUAAAUAAUAUGUUCGAUAAGUGAGCCUACUUUUAAAUUUUAUAGUAAUAGGCAUAAUAUGAGCAAUAUGAUAAGAAUUAGCAAUUAAUACUUUCAGUUAUGUCGAAAAGUUAGCG
This 223-nucleotide unclassified non-coding RNA is filed under the name Moritella viscosa. Its description in RNAcentral is "putative sRNA". Lineage: Bacteria; Pseudomonadati; Pseudomonadota; Gammaproteobacteria; Alteromonadales; Moritellaceae. The record is from RNAcentral.